CGGGACGGGGUGAGUAAUGUCUGGGAAACUGCCUGAUGGAGGGGGAUAACUACUGGAAACGGUAGCUAAUACCGCAUAACGUCGCAAGACCAAGAGGGGGACCUUCGGGCCUCUUGCCAUCGGAUGUGCCCAGAUGGGAUUAGCUAGUAGGUGGGGUAACGGCUCACCUAGGCGACGAUCCCUAGCUGGUCUGAGAGGAUGACCAGCCACACUGGAACUGAGACACGGUCCAG
Molecule: ribosomal RNA, 233 nt
Filed under: uncultured bacterium
Lineage: Bacteria
Description: partial 16S ribosomal RNA
Rfam family: Bacterial small subunit ribosomal RNA
Source: RNAcentral